UACGUAGGGUGCGAGCGUUAAUCGGAAUUACUGGGCGUAAAGCGUGCGCAGGCGGCUUUGCAAGACAGAUGUGAAAUCCCCGGGCUCAACCUGGGAACUGCAUUUGUGACUGCAAGGCUAGAGUACGGCAGAGGGGGAUGGAAUUCCGCGUGUAGCAGUGAAAUGCGUAGAUAUGCGAAGGAACACCAAUGGCGAAGGCAAUCCCCUGGGCCUGUACUGACGCUCAUGCACGAAAGCGUGGGGAGCAAACAGG
Molecule: ribosomal RNA, 253 nt
Filed under: uncultured bacterium
Lineage: Bacteria
Description: partial 16S ribosomal RNA
Rfam family: Bacterial small subunit ribosomal RNA
Source: RNAcentral